GCCAAAGCAAAGAAAUUGUUGCUUUCUGGCUGAGUGGGUUUUACUGAAAGUGUUUUGUUUAAACUUUUUCUUCAAAUUUUCAACACACAGGUUAGAAGAAAGGAAGGUCUUUUUGUUGUUUCUGUGGAGUGUAUUCUUAAUAGCUCUUAGAAAGUUCCUUUCAGGAUCAGGAUUCUGCAACCAAGGGAAAUGAGAAGUCAAAGGUUGGAAACAUCUGAAAUAACUUCUUCAUUUAAGGUGCGACUGCUGGUCUCUGUCAGCAUCAGGUAUGGCUUUGUAUGGAUCCAGCG
RNAcentral lists this long non-coding RNA (290 nucleotides) under Gallus gallus (chicken). The record is from RNAcentral. Lineage: Eukaryota; Metazoa; Chordata; Aves; Galliformes; Phasianidae.